RNAcentral lists this ribosomal RNA (812 nucleotides) under uncultured Thermomonosporaceae bacterium. Its description in RNAcentral is "bacterial SSU rRNA". It matches the Rfam family "Bacterial small subunit ribosomal RNA", at positions 74 to 902 of the family's 1533-position model. The record is from RNAcentral. Lineage: Bacteria; Bacillati; Actinomycetota; Actinomycetes; Streptosporangiales; Thermomonosporaceae.
GGCCCUUCGGGGUACUCGAGCGGCGAACGGGUGAGUAACACGUGAGUAAUCUGCCCUUAGCUCUGGGAUAGCUCCGGGAAACCGGGAUUAAUACCGGAUACGACCACCUUAGACAUCUUUUGUGGUGGAAAGAAUUUCGGCUAGGGAUGAGCUCGCGGCCUAUCAGCUUGUUGGUGGGGUAACGGCCUACCAAGGCGACGACGGGUAGCCGGCCUGAGAGGGCGACCGGCCACACUGGGACUGAGACACGGCCCAGACUCCUACGGGAGGCAGCAGUGGGGAAUAUUGCGCAAUGGGCGAAAGCCUGACGCAGCGACGCCGCGUGGGGGAUGAAGGCCUUCGGGUUGUAAACCCCUUUCAGCAGGGACGAAGCGAAAGUGACGGUACCUGCAGAAGAAGCGCCGGCUAACUACGUGCCAGCAGCCGCGGUAACACGUAGGGCGCAAGCGUUGUCCGGAAUUAUUGGGCGUAAAGAGCUCGUAGGCGGUCUGUUGCGUCCGCUGUGAAAACUCGGGGCUUAACCCCGAGCCUGCAGUGGAUACGGGCAGACUAGAGGUAGGUAGGGGAGAAUGGAAUUCCCGGUGUAGCGGUGAAAUGCGCAGAUAUCGGGAGGAACACUGGUGGCGAAGGCGGUUCUCUGGGCCUUACCUGACGCUGAGGAGCGAAAGCGUGGGGAGCGAACAGGAUUAGAUACCCUGGUAGUCCACGCCGUAAACGUUGGGCGCUAGGUGUGGGAUCCUUCCACGGAUUCCGUGCCGCAGCUAACGCAUUAAGCGCCCCGCCUGGGGAGUACGGCCGCAAGGCUAAAACUC